GACGAACGCUGGCGGCGUGCCUAAUACAUGCAAGUCGAACGAGAGCGACCGGUGCUUGCUCUGGUCAAUUUAGUGGCGAACGGGUGAGUAACACGUGGGUAACCUGCCUAUCAGAGGGGGAUAACAUCCGGAAACGGAAGCUAAUACCGCAUAGGACUUUGAGCCGCAUGGCUCGAAGAGGAAAGGCGGUGCUAGUUUCUGUUGUAGGUUGGUCCCGCGGUGCAUUAGCUAGUUGGUAAGGUAACGGCUCACCAAGGCCAUGAUGCAUAGCCGACCUGAGAGGGUGAUCGGCCACAUUGGAACUGAGACACGGCCCAGACUCCUACGGGAGGCAGCAGUAGGGAAUCUUCCGCAAUGGGCGCAAGUCUGACGGAGCAACGCCGCGUGAGUGAUGAAGGUUUUCGGAUCGUAAAACUCUGUUAUUAGGGAAGAACAAGUGCUAGAGUAACUGUGAGCACCUUGACGGUAUCUAACCAGAAAGCCACGGCUAACUACGUG
This 498-nucleotide ribosomal RNA is filed under the name uncultured bacterium. RNAcentral describes it as "partial 16S ribosomal RNA". It matches the Rfam family "Bacterial small subunit ribosomal RNA", at positions 28 to 507 of the family's 1533-position model. The record is from RNAcentral.